UUUAAUAUGGCAGAAUAGUGCAAUGAAUUUAAGAUUCACUUAAAAAAUUUAUUAAUUUUUAUUAAAA
RNAcentral lists this transfer RNA (67 nucleotides) under Lasioglossum fulvicorne. RNAcentral's name for it is "tRNA-Leu". Lineage: Eukaryota; Metazoa; Arthropoda; Insecta; Hymenoptera; Halictidae. The record is from RNAcentral.